UGGGCAUCCCGUCCGCUCUGCCAUACAUAAGCCUCAGAUCGGCAGAUUAGUAGUUGGGUGGGUGACCACCAGCGAAUACCUGCUGUUGUAUGUU
Molecule: ribosomal RNA, 94 nt
Filed under: Deltaproteobacteria bacterium
Lineage: Bacteria; Pseudomonadati; Myxococcota; Myxococcia
Source: RNAcentral